This 353-nucleotide unclassified non-coding RNA is filed under the name soil metagenome. Its description in RNAcentral is "partial contains 5.8S ribosomal RNA, internal transcribed spacer 2, and large subunit ribosomal RNA". The stretch from base 1 to 120 matches the Rfam family "5.8S ribosomal RNA", at positions 35 to 154 of the family's 154-position model. The record is from RNAcentral.
GAUGAAGAACGUAGCGAAACGCGAUAUGUAAUGUGAAUUGCAGAAUUCAGUGAAUCAUCGAAUCUUUGAACGCACAUGGCGCCUUCCAGUAUCCUGGGAGGCAUGCCUGUCCGAGCGUCGUUUCAACCCUCGAGCCCCCGUGGCCCGGCGUUGGGGAUCUGCCCAGGCAGUCCCCGAAAACCAGUGGCGGACCCGUUACAGGCCCUUCCCUUGCGUAGUAGCAUUCGCCUCGCAUCGGGAGCCGGCGGGCUUCCAGCCUCUAAACCCCCAUCAAGUCCGCCCCGGCGGCACCAAGGUUGACCUCAGAUCAGGUAGGAAUACCCGCUGAACUUAAGCAUAUCAUAAGCGGAGGA